Molecule: long non-coding RNA, 485 nt
Organism: Rosa rugosa (rugosa rose)
Lineage: Eukaryota; Viridiplantae; Streptophyta; Magnoliopsida; Rosales; Rosaceae
Exons: 3
Source: RefSeq, a predicted model, not a curated record
CUCCUCAUGCUGAUCAUCCCCAUGUAAGCCUUUCAUCACGAUUUUUUGUAUAGAACGCUAGAUCAUGGUUUGACUUUUUCGACGUCCCUGAUUUAAUCUGGAAUCUGAUCAGACGCUCCGGAUUAAUCCAACUUCAACGCUUGAUCUAGGACGAUCUAGGCCAAACCAGACUUAGCUCCAGGUGAUUGACGGUUUGAGUUGGUGGACGAUUGUGGAUCGUAUUUUGAGCUGAAUUUAAGACGCAGCGGGAUUAUCGAGCGGGUAAUCCUACAGGACAGGAGAACCAGGACGGUGAUCGCGCGGUUAGAGCAAUUGUUAGAGUUUUACAACAAUUGUAAGUUGUGAGGUGUGUUAUGCUCAUUUGAGCUUUAUAAUAUAUUGUGAGAGUGAAUUGUAAUAAUGAACUCGAAGUUUCGAGAUUUGGUUUUUUGUAAUUGUAAUUAUUCAGGUUUCGGAUUUGAAUUUAUCAUUCAAAAUCCGGGGCG